This is a non-coding RNA of Caenorhabditis elegans, 144 nucleotides long. Lineage: Eukaryota; Metazoa; Nematoda; Chromadorea; Rhabditida; Rhabditidae. The record is from Ensembl.
AAUGACUACGUGGUUCAACUAGAUUUGAUGACACCAUCAAAAUCGGAAAUAAAGAAAUUGAAAUCGUUUGGAUCUAGGGAACCACUGAGGGACGGUUCAUGUGAAUCAAAUUGUUCAACAACAUUCUCAUCGCAGGAUUUUGAA